This 449-nucleotide ribosomal RNA is filed under the name uncultured bacterium. RNAcentral describes it as "partial 16S ribosomal RNA". It matches the Rfam family "Bacterial small subunit ribosomal RNA", at positions 29 to 523 of the family's 1533-position model. The record is from RNAcentral.
AGCGAACGCUGGCGGCAGGCUUAACACAUGCAAGUCGAACGCAUCCUUCGGGGUGAGUGGCAGACGGGUGAGUAACACGUGGGAACGUACCUUUUUGUUCGGAAUAACUCAGGGAAACUUGAGCUAAUACCGGAUACGCCCUUAGGGGGAAAGAUUUAUCGCAGAAAGAUCGGCCCGCGUCUGAUUAGCUAGUUGGUGAGGUAAAGGCUCACCAAGGCGACGAUCAGUAGCUGGUCUGAGAGGAUGAUCAGCCAUACUGGGACUGAGACACGGCCCAGACUCCUACGGGAGGCAGCAGUGGGGAAUAUUGGACAAUGGGCGCAAGCCUGAUCCAGCCAUGCCGCGUGAGUGAUGAAGGCCCUAGGGUUGUAAAGCUCUUUCGGCGGGGACGAUAAUGACGGUACCCGCAGAAGAAGCCCCGGCUAACUUCGUGCCAGCCGCCGCAGUAA